UNUAUAGCUUCAUUGGCGUCCUAAAGUGU
Molecule: non-coding RNA, 29 nt
Filed under: Mus musculus (house mouse)
Lineage: Eukaryota; Metazoa; Chordata; Mammalia; Rodentia; Muridae
Source: RNAcentral